This 257-nucleotide ribosomal RNA is filed under the name uncultured prokaryote. RNAcentral's name for it is "partial 16S ribosomal RNA". It matches the Rfam family "Bacterial small subunit ribosomal RNA", at positions 524 to 780 of the family's 1533-position model. The record is from RNAcentral.
UACGGAGGAUGCAAGCGUUAUCCGGAUUUAUUGGGUUUAAAGGGUGCGCAGGUUGUUUGAUAAGUCAGUGGUGAAAGUCUGUCGCUUAACGGUAGGAUUGCCAUUGAUACUGUUAGACUUGAAUAUGGAUGAGGUAGGCGGAAUGUGUAGUGUAGCGGUGAAAUGCAUAGAUAUUACACAGAACACCGAUUGCGAAGGCAGCUUACUAAGCUACAACUGACACUGAAGCACGAAAGCGUGGGGAUCAAACAGGAUUA